AUUACCGCGGCUGCUGGCACGUAGUUAGCCGUGGCUUUCUGGUUAGGUACCGUCAAGGUACGAGCAGUUACUCUCGUACUUGUUCUUCCCUAACAACAGAGUUUUACGACCCGAAAGCCUUCAUCACUCACGCGGCGUUGCUCCGUCAGACUUUCGUCCAUUGCGGAAGAUUCCCUACUGCUGCCUCCCGUAGGAGUCUGGGCCGUGUCUCAGUCCCAGUGUGGCCGAUCACCCUCUCAGGUCGGCUACGCAUCGUCGCCUUGGUGAGCCAUUACCCCACCAACUAGCUAAUGCGCCGCGGGUCCAUCUGUAAGUGACAGCCGAAACCGUCUUUCAUCCUUGAACCAUGCGGUUCAAGGAACUAUCCGGUAUUAGCUCCGGUUUCCCGGAGUUAUCCCAGUCUUACAGGCAGGUUACCCACGUGUUACUCACCCGUCCGCCGCUAACAUCCGGGAGCAAGCUCCCUUCUGUUCGCUCGACUUGCAUGUAUUAGGCACGCCGCCAGCGUUCGUCCUGAGCCAGGAUCAAACUCU
This 533-nucleotide ribosomal RNA is filed under the name uncultured endophytic bacterium. Its description in RNAcentral is "partial 16S ribosomal RNA". The record is from RNAcentral.